AUGCAGAUCUACGAAAGCACGGGCAACUUAGGCAGCACGGUGAGCUUCUUUGGUUGGUGGCUCGAUGUCGCUGAAUAUGCCCCGUCCGGGCUAUGGAAGGGUGUCAACUCCCUCAUCUCCCUUGUCGCUUGGUCAGUUUGGAAGCAUUGCAACGUCAUUGUCUUUGAUAACGUGCAACCCUUAAUGACUAACUCUCUCUGCAUCAAAGAGGAGGCGCGUCUCUGGGCUCACGCUCGCGCCAAAGGGUUGGCACUCAUAAUUCCUGUAACAUGA
Molecule: ribosomal RNA, 273 nt
Filed under: Triticum aestivum (bread wheat)
Lineage: Eukaryota; Viridiplantae; Streptophyta; Magnoliopsida; Poales; Poaceae
Description: partial small subunit ribosomal RNA
Source: RNAcentral